AUUCCCCUUAGAGUUUGAUCCUGGCUCAGGACGAACGCUGGCGGCGUGCUUAACACAUGCAAGUCGAGCGGUAAGGCCUUUCGGGGUACACGAGCGGCGAACGGGUGAGUAACACGUGGGUGAUCUGCCCUGCACUUCGGGAUAAGCCUGGGAAACUGGGUCUAAUACCGGAUAUGACCUCCUAUCGCAUGGUGGGUGGUGGAAAGAUUUAUCGGUGCAGGAUGGGCCCGCGGCCUAUCAGCUUGUUGGUGGGGUAAUGGCCUACCAAGGCGACGACGGGUAGCCGACCUGAGAGGGUGACCGGCCACACUGGGACUGAGACACGGCCCACACUCCUACGGGAGGCAGCAGUGGGGAAUAUUGCACAAUGGGCGAAAGCCUGAUGCAGCGACGCCGCGUGAGGGAUGACGGCCUUCGGGUUGUAAACCUCUUUCAGCAGGGACGAAGCGCAAGUGACGGUACCUGCAAAAGAAGCACCGGCUAACUACGUGCCAGCAGCCGCGGUAAUACGUAGGGUGCAAGCGUUGUCCGGAAUUACUGGGCGUAAAGAGUUCGUAGGCGGUUUGUCGCGUCGUUUGUGAAAACCAGCAGCUCAACUGCUGGCUUGCAGGCGAUACGGGCAGACUUGAGUACUGCAGGGGAGACUGGAAUUCCUGGUGUAGCGGUGAAAUGCGCAUAUAUCGGAGGAACACCGGUGGCGAAGGCGGGUCUCUGGGAAACAACUGACGCUGAAGAACGAAAGCGUGAGUAGCAAACAAGAUUAGAUACCCUGUACUCCACGCCGUAAACGUGGGCGCUAAGGUGUGGUUCCCUUCCACGAGAAUCUGUGCCGUAGCUAACGCAUUAAGCGCCCCCGCCUGGAGAGAGUACCGGCCCGCAAGGACUAAAUAACUCAGUAGUAGUCGACCGGGGCGCCCCAGCACUAAGCAGACGUGCAUGUGAUUCACUUCCGAUGCACGCGAAACAAUCCUUUACCCUGUGGAG
This 984-nucleotide ribosomal RNA is filed under the name uncultured bacterium. RNAcentral describes it as "bacterial SSU rRNA". It matches the Rfam family "Bacterial small subunit ribosomal RNA", at positions 1 to 983 of the family's 1533-position model. The record is from RNAcentral.